CGUCCAACAUUUAUUAACGAGCCUCAACCAAAUAUAGUAUCAAUUUAACAAUGUCUUUAGAGAGAUGUUAAUCCUUCAAACGCAUUUUGUUCUAUUGAUGUAAUCUCAUUAUUUCCCGGAUUUCUGGAAACAAGAAAAAAAAAGUUGUUAAAACCUUCAACAGUCCAAACUGACAAAUCCACGUACAGGCAUUUUGUGUACUGUUUAUAACCGAAGA
This 217-nucleotide long non-coding RNA is filed under the name Mytilus galloprovincialis (Mediterranean mussel). The record is from RNAcentral. Lineage: Eukaryota; Metazoa; Mollusca; Bivalvia; Mytilida; Mytilidae.